GUGAAGUUUGGGGUUUUGGGGGAGGUUCUAUUUGAUCCAUUACAACAGGAAUGCUCAUUUAACCACAGAUACUGUAUUUAAAUUAAUUUCAAAUAGUAUUUGAACCCAGGUCUGGUACAAACAGAGUGGCUGGGCUAGAUGGCAUUAUGGGUAAUUAAUAAACUGGUUGUUGGGUUGGGGCUGGGGCUGGGAUUCUCUAUAAGCUACCAUCUGCUUGCUGGAGCCAUAGCCACAGGCUAAGAUAUUGGGUUAUCCAGGGCAGGAGGUGCAGGUAAGGGGUGGAUAGGAAAGAGAGGGGUGGAUGGUGGUUUUGUAGAUAGGGAGAGUGGGUUGAGGAUGGUGUUAUGGGGGUAAUUAUAUGAUAUGGGGCAAGUCUGUUCCUAGUCAUCACAGCUGCCAUUACGACAGGAAGUUAGAAAUAUAAUUAUCUGAUACAACCGUCAUGACAUCCUGAACAAAAAAAAACAGAGUAUUUAUUAGUGAAUGUGGCUUAGUUCAGACCAGUGUCUAUUUUCUAAUCUUAGUACAGACAUUUUAAAGAUUAUCCAACGAUUAGAAUCUCAAGCAGUCACCGCCUGGUUCUACCCUAUUCCCUUCUUUUGCCACCAGAAUGAUUUUUAGUCCCUGUCUGCAGUGUCUUCUCACCCAGAAUGCUUUUUAGUCCCUGUCUGCAGUGUCUUCUCACCCAGAAUGCUUUUUAGUCCCUGUCUGCAGUGUCUUCUCACCCAGAAUGCUUUUUAAAUGCUUUUUAGUCCCUGUCUGCAGUGUCUUCUCACCCAGAAUGCUUUUUAGUCCCUGUCUGCAGUGUCUUCUCACCCAGAAUGCUUUUUAGUCCCCGUCUGCAGUGUCUUCUCACCCAGAAUGCUUUUUAGUCCCCGUCUGCAGUGUCUUCUCACCCACGCUGUGGAGGGUCCUCUCAUCUAGAACAACGGUCUUCAACAACAAAGCAGAAAAUUAUUGUUAUCACGUUUUCAAUAUAUAUUUUUUUAAACUCCUACUUCUAAUGUUUUACUGACAAGACUUGCUCACUGUUUAAAAAUACCCCACAGCGCACACACACACACACACAC
RNAcentral lists this long non-coding RNA (1070 nucleotides) under Salmo salar (Atlantic salmon). RNAcentral's name for it is "lncRNA (ENSSSAG00000108215.1)". The record is from RNAcentral. Lineage: Eukaryota; Metazoa; Chordata; Actinopteri; Salmoniformes; Salmonidae.